UAGUGAGUUUGAUCCUGGCUCAGGGUGAACGCUGGCGGCGUGCCUAAGACAUGCAAGUCGAACGCAGUAGCAAGCUACUGAGUGGCGCACGGGUGAGUAACACGUAACUGACCUACCCCGUAGUCCCGCACAACGGCCCGAAAGGACCGCUAAUUCGGGAUGUGAACCCGCACCGUGGUGCGUGUUUAAAGAUUCAUCGCUAUGGGAUGGGGUUGCGGCGCAUCAGCUCGUUGGUGAGGU
This 240-nucleotide ribosomal RNA is filed under the name uncultured bacterium. RNAcentral describes it as "partial 16S ribosomal RNA". It matches the Rfam family "Bacterial small subunit ribosomal RNA", at positions 1 to 258 of the family's 1533-position model. The record is from RNAcentral.